RNAcentral lists this unclassified non-coding RNA (240 nucleotides) under soil metagenome. RNAcentral describes it as "partial contains 5.8S ribosomal RNA, internal transcribed spacer 2, and large subunit ribosomal RNA". The record is from RNAcentral.
AACGCACGAGACCUGCGGACCUGCGGAGGGAUCAUUACCGAGUUUACAACUCCCAAACCCCUGUGAACUUAUACCUUUACUGUUGCUUCGGCGGGUCAUUGCCCCGGGGAAACAGGUGCCGCCAGGUCCCUGCCCCCCCGGAAACAGGCGCCCGCCGGGGGACUCAAACUCUUCUGUAUUUUUUGUUUACUGUAUACUGUCUGAGUAAAAAUUCAUAAUGAAUCAAAACUUUUAGCAAUG